Molecule: transfer RNA, 71 nt
Filed under: Bifidobacterium longum
Lineage: Bacteria; Bacillati; Actinomycetota; Actinomycetes; Bifidobacteriales; Bifidobacteriaceae
Description: tRNA-Ala
Rfam family: tRNA
About the family: Transfer RNA (tRNA) molecules are approximately 80 nucleotides in length.
Source: RNAcentral
GGCUAUAGCGCAGCUGGUAGCGCAUCUGCUUUGCAAGCAGAGGGUCGCCGGUUCGAACCCGGCUAGCUCCA